UUGCCUUCUCUACCUCUUUGCUCUCUCUAAGCGCAUACACAGACAGAAAGGAAAACUUGUUAGCCACUUUUACUCGUGAUUUUGGUCGAUUUGGAGUUGGAUUUCGAAGAUGAUGAAGUUGAAGAAAAGAUAGAUUAAGGCAUAAUUUUAGCACUUGAAGGAGUCAUUUGGAGUCAUUUAGAGCUUGAGAAGUAGGAUUUGCAUUGCGAAAGUGAACUACGAAGUUGAAGAUCAAGAUAAAAUAAUUCAUCUUAGUAGCAAACAAGGAGGAGAUGACGUGAUUGAAGAAAUUGUGUUUCUAUCUUCGCUGUCCCUUUUGAGGUUGACUCAGUUCAUAUAGUACUGGCGACGGAAAUUUAUUCGAACUAUUUGGACUCUUAAUUGCAUUCUCAAGCACAUCCAUAUUGAAGCCAAGGUAACACACCAGCCGUGUGCGUUGGUUGUUUCCAUUGCACUUUUUGCACUUGACCAGCUGGAUAGUUCACCAGAAGACCACUUAGAUUCUCAUGGCCAACAAGCAUGCGGGAGGGUUUCAGACAAUUUCAAUGAAGUAUUAACCAUUAGAUGCAAUGGUAGGUUGUCUAAUGGUAAUGGAAUUAUGUAUGCAUUGCCUAUAUGACGUGAUCCCAACAUAAGCUUUGUUCCGUCGUGACUGUUUGAUUGAUCAUUACGCACAUGUAUGCUUAUAUUUAUCUUUUGCCGCUGCUAUGAGAGAUGCCACUAGUGAACCAACUAUGCCGCGAUCCAGUUUCCUCUUCAUAGGAAAACUCUCUAGUGAAUUGUAGAAACCUCUUGAUUGGUGAGGAUGCUUAUAUUUUUUGACAAAGGAUGAGUAUAAGCAUAUGUAUGCUUAUAUUUUUUUGACAAA
Long non-coding RNA from Triticum aestivum (bread wheat), 868 nucleotides. RefSeq lists it as uncharacterized. The record is from RefSeq and is a predicted model, not a curated record. The transcript is spliced from 5 exons. Lineage: Eukaryota; Viridiplantae; Streptophyta; Magnoliopsida; Poales; Poaceae.